Molecule: RNase P RNA, 411 nt
Filed under: Pseudooceanicola marinus
Lineage: Bacteria; Pseudomonadati; Pseudomonadota; Alphaproteobacteria; Rhodobacterales; Paracoccaceae
Description: Oceanicola marinus Bacterial RNase P class A
Rfam family: Bacterial RNase P class A
About the family: Ribonuclease P (RNase P) is a ubiquitous endoribonuclease, found in archaea, bacteria and eukarya as well as chloroplasts and mitochondria. Its best characterised activity is the generation of mature 5'-ends of tRNAs by cleaving the 5'-leader elements of precursor-tRNAs.
Source: Rfam by way of RNAcentral
GCGGAGGGCCGGAUGGCCGCGGGGGCAGGCUGGAAACGGCGUCUCCGAGGAAAGUCCGGACUCCACAAGGCAACGGUGCCGGGUAACGCCCGGCGGGGGCGACCCCAGGGACAGCGCCACAGAGAACAGACCGCCCUGCACGCAGGGUAAGGGUGAAACGGUGCGGUAAGAGCGCACCGCGGGACCGGCAACGGGACCGGCAUGGCAAGCCCCACCGGGAGCAAUGCCGAAUAGGAACCUCGCGCGGGGCGGGCAGGUCGGGCAACCGAAACCGCCGCCACCGCAGGGCCGCCUUGGCCCGGAGGUUCGGGUUGGCAGCUUGAGGCGCCGGGCGACCGGCGUCCCAGAUGAAUGGUCAUCGAACCGGCUUCGGCCGGGGAACAGAAUCCGGCUUACAGGCCCUCCGCGCAC